Molecule: long non-coding RNA, 500 nt
Filed under: Polistes fuscatus (common paper wasp)
Lineage: Eukaryota; Metazoa; Arthropoda; Insecta; Hymenoptera; Vespidae
Description: uncharacterized LOC122523883
Source: RNAcentral
UAAAUAUUACAUAAUUAAUAAUCAAAGUACGCGUGUACGAUACAGUUUUAAAAAUAGCGCCUAAUAUACAUCGAUAUGACAUCGUAACUGUAAAUCGAGAAUUUCGCGUGGACAAAUGUAAACAGGAUCGAAAACGUUCAGUGCUUCGACCUACCUCAAUAAUAUUUGCAUUACCUAUCCCAGCACUUCGACGAAUAAAAAGAAGAAGAAAUAGAUACAUACCCAAACAUCAAUUUCUGGACCAGCGUAAUGUUUUCCUCUAAAUACUUCUGGAGCAGCGUAAGGAGGGCUUCCGCACCAUGUACUCAAUCGCUCUCCAGUUAGAUGACAUCGACGGUGGCAGUCUUUUCAAAACUGAUCAUUGUGAAUGAGAACGCGGAGGAAAGAAAAGAAAGAAAGAAAAAGAAAAAGAAAAGAAAAAAGAAUUCAAACGAGAUGAGAAUGGAAGGUGAUCAUAAACGUGCAAGUAAGAACUGGCACGAAGAAGAGCAAAGAACGAA